Rhodotorula diobovata is the source of this 102-nucleotide non-coding RNA. NCBI's taxonomy places the organism in Eukaryota, Fungi, Basidiomycota, Microbotryomycetes, Sporidiobolales, Sporidiobolaceae. The record is from the annotation of a GenBank genome assembly.
GGCCGCGUGGCCUAGUGGCAUGGCGUCGCCCUCCGAUUUCCAGCUCAAGCAGCUGGUGGAGAUCCCAGGCGGAGACCGUGGGUUCGAUCCCCACCGUGGUCG